Molecule: unclassified non-coding RNA, 219 nt
Filed under: soil metagenome
Description: partial contains 5.8S ribosomal RNA, internal transcribed spacer 2, and large subunit ribosomal RNA
Source: RNAcentral
AACAUCGCGCACCUGCGGGAACCUGCGGAGGGAUCAUUACAGAGUGUAAAAACUCCCAAAACCCAUGUGAACAUACCUUUUUGUUGCUUCGGCGGGAUCGCCCCGGGCGCCUUGUGUGCCCCGGAGUCAGGCGCCCGCCGGGGGACCCAAACUCUUGUUUUUAACGAGUAUCUUCUGAGUAACGUUUUUAAAUAAAUAAAAACUUUCAACAACGGAUCU